Molecule: ribosomal RNA, 406 nt
Filed under: uncultured bacterium
Lineage: Bacteria
Description: partial 16S ribosomal RNA
Rfam family: Bacterial small subunit ribosomal RNA
Source: RNAcentral
GUUGAACGCUGGCGGCAGGCCUAACACAUGCAAGUCGAACGAGUGGCGGAGGGGUGAGUAGUGGCUGGGAAACUGCCUGAUGGAGGGAGAUAACUAGUGGAAACGGUAGCAAAUACCGCAUACCAUCGGAUGUGCCCAGAUGGGAUUAGCUAGCAGGGGGGGUAACGGCUCACCUAGGCGACGAUCCCUAGCUGGUCUGAGAGGAUGACCAGCCACACUGGAACUGAGACACGGUCCAGACUCCUACGGGAGGCAGCAGUGGGGAAUAUUGCACAAUGGGCGCAAGCCUGAUGCAGCCAUGCCGCGUGUGUGAAGAAGGCCUUCGGGUUGUAAAGUACUUUUAGCGGGGAGGCGUUACCCGCAGAAGAAGCACCGGCUAACUCCGUGCCAGCAGCCGCGGUAAUUC